CAGAAAAUGGCUGCAAGCAGGAACCAAAGGCCGGGUCUGGAUCCUGGGAGCCACACUGUUGCAGCAGGAGAGGUACACUUUGUAAGAGCAAUACUGGACCUGAAGCAGAGCAGCAGUAUUCCACCCAUGUUGACAGCAUUGUCCAGUCGAGAGGGCACUGGGCCAGCAGGUAGUCCCGUUCUGCCAUUGACCAGCUGUGUGACCUGGGGGUACCUGGCAUUGGCCACUGUCAGAAGACAGGAUACUGGACUAGAUGGACCUUUGGCCUGACCCAGUAUGGACGUUCUUAUUUUCUUAGGGCAAGGACCUUGAAUCUGAUAUGAUGAGAAACAGGGAGCCAGUACAAAGAAACAAAAAAGGGCAUGACAUGGUCAGAGUGACAGGGAAGGAAGGCUAUUUUAGUGGCUGCAAUUUAUACAGGUGUGUGUAUUCUUCCAGUACAAAAGGGCAGCUUUUUAUGUUUUUAAUUAGUCUGCCAGUGUGCAUCAUUUUGUUACCCUUUGGAGGACUGCAGUGACAUUUUAACAGAAGGCACAUAAACUUCCUAUGAUGCGUGGUCUUUGUUGCAAUAUAAAUUAAAAAUUAUGCCAUAUAUAACUCCAGAGAUUUCAAAAAUUUAUUGAGUCAGAUGUAGAACAUGUACAUCCUACCAUGUGCUAGUCUAAAGCAAUCCUUCUCAUCUUGCUGAAUAACCAUCACACGAUUUGAGUAAACUUCAGGAUUUUUUGCUAGAUAUUAACGUCUAUUUACAUAGUGUAAAUAUUGUAGAAAAAUGCUAUUAUUUAUUAAGUUAUAUCUUACCUACUAUUAAAACA
Gopherus flavomarginatus (Mexican gopher tortoise) is the source of this 815-nucleotide long non-coding RNA. RefSeq lists it as uncharacterized. The transcript has 3 exons. Lineage: Eukaryota; Metazoa; Chordata; Testudines; Testudinidae. The record is from RefSeq and is a predicted model, not a curated record.